GCGGCCUCUGAGCAAUGAAAAUGAGCUUCAACGGCUAGAUCAAAUACCAUUGGAAAACCUCAGGCCAGAGUUCAAAGCAGGUCUUGAUGCUUUGACAAGAUUUGUUUUUGAGAGGACGAGACCCAAGCAAGUUGGAGCAACUAUUAUGACUGGACCGCUCUUUGCUCGCAUAACUCAGUCCUUCCUGGAUGCUCUUAACAAUGGUGCAGUGCCCACCAUUACCUCUUCAUGGCAGAGUGUUGAGGAAGCUGAGUGUCAAAGGGCAUACGAUUCGGCUGCUGAGAGAUACAUGUCUUCAUUUGAUCGUUCCAAGCCUCCGGAGGAAGGUGCACUAAGAGAAGCACACGAGGAUGCAUCUCAAAAGGCCAUGGCAGAAUUUAAUUCUACUGCUGUGGGGGCUGGAUCCAUCAGGAUGAAAUAUGAGAAGCGUCUCCAAAAUUUCAUAAAAAAAGCAUUUGAGGAGCUUAAAAAGGAUGCCUUUAGGGAGGCUUAUCUACAAUGUUCAAAUGCCAUACAGGACAUGGAAAAGGAACUGAGGUUGGCUUGCCAUGCUCCUGAUGCAAAUAUAGAUAGUGUGCUUAAGGUUCUUGAUCGUCUAGUGUCCAAGUAUGAAGCAACUUGUCAGGGUCCUG
RNAcentral lists this unclassified non-coding RNA (632 nucleotides) under Hevea brasiliensis (rubber tree). Lineage: Eukaryota; Viridiplantae; Streptophyta; Magnoliopsida; Malpighiales; Euphorbiaceae. The record is from RNAcentral.